Spea bombifrons (plains spadefoot toad) is the source of this 75-nucleotide non-coding RNA. NCBI's taxonomy places the organism in Eukaryota, Metazoa, Chordata, Amphibia, Anura, Pelobatidae. The record is from the annotation of a RefSeq genome assembly.
GGUAGCGUGGCCGAGCGGUCUAAGGCGCUGGAUUAAGUCUCUUCGGAGGCGUGGGUUCAAAUCCCACUGCUGCCA